Molecule: ribosomal RNA, 284 nt
Filed under: Enterobacter sp. April_KBA3
Lineage: Bacteria; Pseudomonadati; Pseudomonadota; Gammaproteobacteria; Enterobacterales; Enterobacteriaceae
Description: partial 16S ribosomal RNA
Rfam family: Bacterial small subunit ribosomal RNA
Source: RNAcentral
CCCGCAACGAGCGCAACCCUUAUCCUUUGUUGCCAGCGGUCCGGCCGGGAACUCAAAGGAGACUGCCAGUGAUAAACUGGAGGAAGGUGGGGAUGACGUCAAGUCAUCAUGGCCCUUACGAGUAGGGCUACACACGUGCUACAAUGGCGUAUACAAAGAGAAGCGACCUCGCGAGAGCAAGCGGACCUCAUAAAGUACGUCGUAGUCCGGAUUGGAGUCUGCAACUCGACUCCAUGAAGUCGGAAUCGCUAGUAAUCGUAGAUCAGAAUGCUACGGUGAAUACG